GAUAUGAUCAAUAAAAGGAUAAAUUUUUUUUCAUUCAAGUGUAAUGUGUCCUUGAAUCAUCCAUAAAAUUAAUUUCGAUACAUACUCUCAAAGUGUUGAGAAUUAGAGAUUGUAUUUAAUUUCUAAAGGCUUUCGGUCAUAGGAUCAUCAUGAGGAUGGUGACAAAUCUGGAUAGACUGACGUACAAAUCACUUUUUUCGGAAU
This 204-nucleotide long non-coding RNA is filed under the name Elaeis guineensis (African oil palm). RNAcentral describes it as "long non-coding RNA (EGUI_LNC016487)". The record is from RNAcentral. Lineage: Eukaryota; Viridiplantae; Streptophyta; Magnoliopsida; Arecales; Arecaceae.